Ribosomal RNA from Cricetulus griseus (Chinese hamster), 150 nucleotides. It matches the Rfam family "5.8S ribosomal RNA". Rfam says of the family: 5.8S ribosomal RNA (5.8S rRNA) is a component of the large subunit of the eukaryotic ribosome. It is transcribed by RNA polymerase I as part of the 45S precursor that also contains 18S and 28S rRNA. NCBI's taxonomy places the organism in Eukaryota, Metazoa, Chordata, Mammalia, Rodentia, Cricetidae. The record is from Ensembl.
GACUCUUAGAGGUGGAUGACUCGCCUCCUGCAUUGGUGAAGAAUGCAGCUAGCUCGAGAAUUAAUGUGAAUUGGAGGACAUUGAUCAUUGACACUUGGAAUGCACUUGCAGCCCAGGGUUCCUCCAGGGGCUAUGCCUGUCUGAGCAUGG